CCGAGUGCGGGCUGCCUUCGGGCGCCCAACCUCCCACCCGUGUCUACUUAACACUGUUGCUUCGGCGGAGAGCCCCUCGGGGCGAGCCGCCGGGGACCACCGAACUUCAUGCCUGAGAGUAAUGCAGUCUGAGUCUGAAUGAAAAAUCAGUCA
Molecule: unclassified non-coding RNA, 153 nt
Filed under: uncultured Aspergillus
Lineage: Eukaryota; Fungi; Ascomycota; Eurotiomycetes; Eurotiales; Aspergillaceae
Description: sequence contains ITS1
Source: RNAcentral